This 253-nucleotide ribosomal RNA is filed under the name uncultured bacterium. Its description in RNAcentral is "partial 16S ribosomal RNA". It matches the Rfam family "Bacterial small subunit ribosomal RNA", at positions 524 to 776 of the family's 1533-position model. The record is from RNAcentral.
UACGAAGGGGGCUAGCGUUGCUCGGAAUCACUGGGCGUAAAGCGCACGUAGGCGGAUUCCUAAGUCGGUGGUGAAAUCCUGGAGCUCAACUCCAGAACUGCCUUCGAUACUGGAAAGCUCGAGUCCGGGAGAGGUGAGUGGAACUGCGAGUGUAGAGGUGAAAUUCGUAGAUAUUCGCAAGAACACCAGUGGCGAAGGCGGCUCACUGGCCCGGUACUGACGCUGAGGUGCGAAAGCGUGGGGAGCAAACAGG